This 252-nucleotide ribosomal RNA is filed under the name uncultured bacterium. Its description in RNAcentral is "partial 16S ribosomal RNA". It matches the Rfam family "Bacterial small subunit ribosomal RNA", at positions 524 to 776 of the family's 1533-position model. The record is from RNAcentral.
UACGGAGGAUGCGAGCGUUAUCCGGAUUUAUUGGGUUUAAAGGGUGCGUAGGCGGACUGUCAAGUCAGCGGUAAAAUACGGGGGCUCAACCUCCGCCCGCCGUUGAAACUGACGGUCUUGAGUGGGCGAGAAGUAUGCGGAAUGCGUGGUGUAGCGGUGAAAUGCAUAGAUAUCACGCAGAACUCCGAUUGCGAAGGCAGCAUACCGGCGCCCAACUGACGCUGAAGCACGAAGCGUGGGUAGUCGAACAGG